AUAAUUGUUGAUUCUUCUAACGUCUGUCUCUCUUUGUCUCUUCCAGACGUUUAGUGGUCUCCUGAAGCACAUUCCACCUCCGGCCGUAGCAGCCAGCUCCGCCUCUUCCUCUCCCUCCUCUGCCUCCUCGGACCAAAACAACAACAGCAACGACGCACAGCCCGCGCAAACUCCACACCCCACGAUCCCCCGGGGCCACCUGGUCGUGGGCCCCAAAGACCAGCUCCGCCUGCUGACUCCGGUGGGCAGCUCGGCCAAUCACUGCGCGGCGACCAUCAGAGUGUCCUCCCCAGCCAAGUCCCUCAGCCAGGAAGACGAUGGCGGAGGAGGAGGCGGGUCGAGGGUCAAGAAGAAGCGCAAGAAAAAAGACAAGCGCGACAAAGCGGCGGAGUUCGGAGAGGACGAGCAGAGAGGCAGCAGUAAACCAAAGAAACGCAAGGCGGAGAAGGAUACAGCGGCGACGACGGUGGUGGUGCUGAGUCCGAGGAAGAGCAAGGAGCCCAAGGAAGGGAAAGCGAAGAAGGAGCGGAAGAGUAAAGCCAAGGACGCCAAGAAGGACAAUGGGGCGGGGGUAAACAGGCGAACGCUGCAGGGCCCGGGACGACUGUGGCGCCCAUUAAAAUCCCCGGGAAACGAGGACGCAAACCCAAGAUCAAGAUCCUACCUCCUGUGCCGCCCGGUCAAGCUGCUCUUGUCCAGGGCGUGCCGAGCAAAGUACGUCUCCAGGCCUGUCCAGUCAAGGGCAACGGUCCGGCCCACAACAGCUCAGCCCCCAAACAGCGCGGACGCAAGCCUAAAGUGUGUGGUUCGCUGCCGGUGGAGAAGAAGAAGAAGGGGAAGAGGAGAAAGGAGGAGCUGGUUCUGGAGGCGGUGGAGAGCGAUGACACCACCUCCACCUCGGGCCUCACCGCGGGAGGGGAGGACAGCCAGGACCCGCUGGACAGCAGCGUGAGUUCAACAUAGAGUUAUGUUUGGUUUUGUUCAUG
Molecule: long non-coding RNA, 986 nt
Filed under: Neogobius melanostomus (round goby)
Lineage: Eukaryota; Metazoa; Chordata; Actinopteri; Gobiiformes; Gobiidae
Description: lncRNA (ENSNMLG00000015029.1)
Source: RNAcentral